Molecule: long non-coding RNA, 2817 nt
Organism: Aethalodelphis obliquidens (Pacific white-sided dolphin)
Lineage: Eukaryota; Metazoa; Chordata; Mammalia; Artiodactyla; Delphinidae
Exons: 3
Source: RefSeq, a predicted model, not a curated record
CCGCACAGACGGCCUCUCCCCAUCAGCCGCCCUUCUUGGAGGCUUCACUCUUACCUCUAAACCCUGGGGAAGGGAGCCCCAGGCUGUCUGCACAGCAGCCAGCGGGAUCUGGGCUGUGAAGUUAGGGAGAAGCAGUGGCUUGGGACAGUGGAAUUACCACCGGCUGGGGUGGGGGCAGCGCUGGGGAAGUGCUCCACCACUUCCCACCUGAGGGGCCUUGACUGAGUCACUGCGUCUCUCCGGGCACCCCUCUCGUGCAUCAGUAGAUGAGCUAAAACAAGUAAUCUGCCGCCAAGGGCUGCGGCGAGGGUUCUAUGAGGUCAUGCAGGAAAGGCCUCGGCGUAGGGCGAGGAGGCCUUAGUGGACUGAACUCAGGACUCUGGCGUCCAGCAGGUCAGGGCUCGCGCUCCCAGAACUUCCGCUGGGACCUCCCGUCCGGCUCUUUGAGGAACACAUGAUGGGAGUCCAUCGGCACCCUCAGCACAGAGCCUGCCCCCGAGACGGAGCUCAUGAAUGUUUGUGGAGUCAGAGCAAGAGAAGAGACAGCACUGGACCCCACGCAGCACGCGGCCCUACAGGCUCAUUGGCACAGGCCGGGGGGACGGGCCUGCUCAGUGGGCGGAGGCGAGUCCUGGGAAGGAGCAGCCAGGGCAGGUUUGUCCUCUGCCUGGACAACAGCCUUGUGCAGUGUUGGUGGUAACUCUCCUUUCCCUUUUAAAACAUUUUUAGUGAUGAUGGUGGUGGUGAUGAUGAUGUUUGGGUACAAAUUGGGAGAGAAACUUCAGUGGGGUUCUCUGCGCCGCUAGGCACAGUGUAUCAUGUUCCUGGGUCCACCGUGCUCCUCCCCUCCCCAGGAUAGCCACCCCUGUCUUUGCAGAAGGAGAGCACCUUUCCUUCUUGCCUCAGCUUCUCCCAUCCUGCUCAGACCUUGUCCUCUGGCAAAGGUGUUCUUUGCCAGAAGACCCCAGCAUCUUACAGGCCACCACGUUAGCCAGACAGCAGGAUGGCACAGAAACCUUCCCCACGUCGACUCCGGGGGUGAAGGUGUUGCCCGCCCUGUGGAUUUUCCAGAGGGCCUGGAGGAUCCUGGUGGGGCCAUGGCAGGCUGGGGGCUCAAGAUCGGCCGGAGCAUAUGAGAGGGGCCCAACUUCUUCUGAGCUGCGCCCUAGACAGCCUGGAUGCAGGCAUAUUCCCUUCUUUCCCUCCCUCCCUCCUUCUUUCUCUCUCUCUCUCUGACUCUCUUUUCCAGGAUGUAUUUUUUGGGAACCUGCUCUGAGGCAGCACCAGGAAGGCAAAGUCCCUGUCCUCACAGAGCUCGCAGGCGGGAGGGGAGACAGACAGACAGACUUGGGCACCUGAGAAGUGCCGGGCGCAGGGAGUAUCUAAGCAGGAUGUCUGAUGAAGCAGUCAGGGCAGGCCCCUGACAAAGUGGUGCUUCAGCUGAAACCUGGAGGAUGGGUCAGAGUUAGCAGGUGGUGAGGUUAGAGGGAGGGUGGCCUGGGCGGAGAGAAUAGCACAUGAAGUGGCCCCAACAAUAUCUCCCCGCCAAAGUGAGACCUUGACACUCCUCCCAAUGAGAGGUAGGAUCUCUGCCCCCUCCCCUUGAAUGUGGGUGGUUUCUGACUUGCUUGUAACCAGUAGAAUGCAGUGGGAGUGACACUACCCGACUGCCAAGACUGGGUGAAAGAAGCCAGUGCAGCUUCUGCCUUGUUCACUGGCACACUCUGUGUUGGCGCCAUGAGCCAAGCUGGACCCCAAGAAGUCCAGCUACCCGGAAGCUGACGUGUGAAGACUGCAUGUACCAUGGGUCCCAGCUGGCAGCUGGCAUCAACCCCCAGACGUGGGAGGAAAGAGGCCCCUCGCCAUUGAGUCAUCCCCAGCUAUAGCGUCUUCCUGCUGAGGCCCCAGCCAUCAGGCAGCAGAGAUAAGCCAUCCUAGUGUUCCGUGCCCGAACUCCUGACCCACAGAACCCAUGAGGAUAAGGAAAUGGUUAUUUGAGGCCGCAAAGUUUUGGUGGUAAUUUGUUACGCUGCAGUAGUAACAGGAGCGGACCCUGAGGCAAGGGCAACUGUGAGUUCUUCCAGGAGCUGAGAGGAGUGCGGUGUGGAGGAGAGAAGGGGAGCGUGGCAGAGGAUGAGGCCUUGUCAGAGGGGGGACUUCAUCCCGAGGGCAGUCAGGAAGCACUGCAAGGUUCUGAGCAGGACAGGGUUCCUUCCGCCUUGCUUUUGUUUCUAAGAGGGCCACUGGCGUUGACUGGAUUGACAGGUGCGGCGGCCGAGGCAUCAGAGCUGCUGGGAGUUGGUUGCAGCUGUCUUGUUGCCCGGGAGUCCCCUGAGCACGGGGGCAUGUGUGGCGUGGGCCGUGUGGAGCUCUCCUUUUGUCCAGCCCAGCACAGCAGAGCUCCUCCCCACUCGUACCCAGAACAUCCUCGUCAAGCCUCCACCUUGAUGGCUCCCAGAUCUUGGAAUCCUCCUGACCUCAGUGAGCACCAUCCCUGAGUUUCCACCUGCCUGUUGGACCGGUGUCAUGUGACUAAAGCAUUUGAGGAAAAGGGAAUCUUUCUUUUUCUUUGUAUAGUUUUUACCAGAAUGAAAAAGACGUGUGAUGUUUACAUGGUGGCAGAAUACAAAGAAUCUUCAUUAUGUCCCACAGUUUGUAUAAAUUUCAUGUGUUUUCCUAUUUAUCACCUUCCUGACAGUUAACAGUUCUUUUGUUUUUCUUUUUCCUGUCGGGAAUGUUGGGAUGUUCUACUGAGAUAACUGUGUAUGAGGGGUGGGGGCUGAGGCGGGGGGAAGUGCACGAAUAAUGUGUGUUACG